Molecule: ribosomal RNA, 428 nt
Filed under: uncultured prokaryote
Description: bacterial SSU rRNA
Rfam family: Bacterial small subunit ribosomal RNA
Source: RNAcentral
UGAGGAAUUUUGCGCAAUGGGAGCAAUCCUGACGCAGCAACGCCGCGUGGGUGAUGAAGGCCUUCGGGUCGUAAAGCCCUGUCAGGUGGGAAGAAUGUCCCGGAAUUGAACAGGUUUCGGGAGUGACGGUACCACCAGAGGAAGCACCGGCUAACUCCGUGCCAGCAGCCGCGGUAAUACGGAGGGUGCAAGCGUUAUUCGGAAUUACUGGGCGUAAAGCGCGUGUAGGCGGUCCUGCAAGUCUGAUGUGAAAGCCCCGGGCUUAACCCGGGAAGUGCAUUUGAGACUGCAGGUCUUGAGUACUGGAGAGGAGGGGGGAAUUCACGGUGUAGAGGUGAAAUUCGUAGAGAUCGGGAGGAAUAUCAGUGGCGAAGGCGCCCAUCUGGACGGUAACUGACGCUGAGACGCGAAAGCGUGGGGAGCAAACA